RNAcentral lists this ribosomal RNA (207 nucleotides) under uncultured bacterium. Its description in RNAcentral is "partial 16S ribosomal RNA". It matches the Rfam family "Bacterial small subunit ribosomal RNA", at positions 568 to 774 of the family's 1533-position model. The record is from RNAcentral.
CACGUAGGCGGCGCUCUAAGUCAGGUGUGAAAUCCCCCGGCUCAACCGGGGAACUGCACCCGAUACUGGAGUGCUCGAGGACGGUAGGGGUGAGUGGAACUCCAGGUGGAGCGGUGAAAUGCGUAGAUAUCUGGAGGAACACCGGUGGCGAAAGCGGCUCACUGGACCGUCUCUGACGCUGAGGUGCGAAAGCUAGGGUAGCAAACG